This 297-nucleotide unclassified non-coding RNA is filed under the name Hevea brasiliensis (rubber tree). The record is from RNAcentral. Lineage: Eukaryota; Viridiplantae; Streptophyta; Magnoliopsida; Malpighiales; Euphorbiaceae.
AAUGUAAAAUGGACCACAUUUCAUCUUCCAUUAAAAUUUGUAACAGAAAGAUCUUCGCCAACCCCUAAAUCCUAUCAUUCAGAUUAUUGCCCGAGCUUAUUCGAAAACAAAUUUGUGCAUUUAGGUUGAAAGAUGUGGAGUUCAAUCGAGAAUUUAAAGGAGAAUCUCAAUAGGAUCGCUCUUGAAAUUCACGAUGAGGACGACGAAGAUGAAGAAGAGCUUUCGAUUUACAAUUCAGAUGAUCGUUCGGAUACUAAUUCAUCAUCUAAUCGGAGAAUUUCUAGGAAUUUCAGUCGU